RNAcentral lists this ribosomal RNA (411 nucleotides) under Triticum aestivum (bread wheat). Its description in RNAcentral is "partial small subunit ribosomal RNA". The record is from RNAcentral. Lineage: Eukaryota; Viridiplantae; Streptophyta; Magnoliopsida; Poales; Poaceae.
AUGGAUCCAACACCCGCCAUGCGUCCGCUCCACCGGAUUCAGCGGCGGCGGAUCCCCGCGGCCUGCAGCUUCCUCCUGCUCCUCCUCGCUCUCCUCAUCUCCCCCACCGCCGCCGCCAAGUCCUCUGGCCGCCCCAUCACCGACAAGGAGAUCCGCGAGAACAAGGCCGCCUGCUACACCGACGUCGAGAACGGGCUGUGGGGAUUCGCGUGCAGGUCGUCCACCACGGAGAAGGAGAAUUGCGUGCUGCGCUGCCUCUCGCCGGAGUGCUACAACCUCAUAUAUGGCGGCGAUCCGCUUGAGGAAGGGGAGCUAGACUAUGUCCGCAGCCAUGAGUACAAGUACUGCAUGCACAAGGUAUCCCUUGGAGAAAGCUUGGAUGGUGUGAAGGGUUCCUUCAGCUAUUCAUGA